RNAcentral lists this ribosomal RNA (305 nucleotides) under uncultured bacterium. RNAcentral describes it as "bacterial SSU rRNA". It matches the Rfam family "Bacterial small subunit ribosomal RNA", at positions 338 to 640 of the family's 1533-position model. The record is from RNAcentral.
CCUACGGGGGGCAGCAGUGAGGAAUAUUGGUCAAUGGGCGGGAGCCUGAACCAGCCAAGUCGCGUGAGGGAAGACGGUCCUAUGGAUUGUAAACCUCUUUAGGCGGGGAGCAAUGCCGGGCACGCGUGCCCGGAGGGAGAGUACCCGCAGAAUAAGUAUCGGCUAACUCCGUGCCAGCCGCCGCGGGAAUACGGAGGAUGCGAGCGUUAUCCGGGUUUAUUGGGUUUAAAGGGUGCGUAGGCGGAUUUUUAAGUCAGCGGGAAAAUGUCCGGGCUCGACCCGGGGCGGCCGGUGAAACUGGGGGG